Molecule: ribosomal RNA, 498 nt
Filed under: uncultured bacterium
Lineage: Bacteria
Description: partial 16S ribosomal RNA
Rfam family: Bacterial small subunit ribosomal RNA
Source: RNAcentral
GAUGAACGCUAGCGGCAGGCCUAAUACAUGCAAGUCGGACGGGAUUGGGGAGCUUGCUCCCCAUGAGAGUGGCGCACGGGUGCGUAACACGUAUGUAACCUACCCUUGUCAGGGGGAUAGCCUCUCGAAAGAGAGAUUAACACCGCAUAACAUUAUUGGAUGGCAUCAUUUAAUAAUCAAAUAUUUAUAGGACAAGGAUGGGCAUGCGGGACAUUAGCUAGUUGGUAGGGUAACGGCUUACCAAGGCUACGAUGUCUAAGGGAUAUGAGAGGAUGGCCCCCCACACUGAUACUGAGACACGGACCAGACUCCUACGGGAGGCAGCAGUAAGGAAUAUUGGUCAAUGGGCGCAAGCCUGAACCAGCCAUGCCGCGUGCAGGAAGACGGCCCUACGGGUUGUAAACUGCUUUUGCGCCGGAAUAAACCCUUUUACGAGUAAGAGGCUGAAUGUACGGCGAGAAUAAGGAUCGGCUAACUCCGUGCCAGCAGCCGCCGCAG